Balaenoptera ricei (Rice's whale) is the source of this 4832-nucleotide long non-coding RNA. RefSeq lists it as uncharacterized. The transcript has 5 exons. NCBI's taxonomy places the organism in Eukaryota, Metazoa, Chordata, Mammalia, Artiodactyla, Balaenopteridae. The record is from RefSeq and is a predicted model, not a curated record.
UCCCUGCGCGUAGCUGUGGAAAAUUCCGGAGCUAUGGCUGUGCCCUUCUCAGGCUGCUGAGGUAGAAGUUUGGGAAGGCACACAGGCUUCUCCCGAGAAGCAGCGUUUCACCAGCUCGGGUUCAGAGCACGGGAUUCUGGGCCCCGCGGUGGCGUAGACGCUGCGCUCGGACGACCGGCUUCUCCUUUAGGGUUUCCUAACUUCCUACAAUGAAAAUCUCACUCAUGAAGCUGGGGCACUGUCACUAGUAAGUGUUGAGAAGCAACGCUAGCAGCUGAGGGAUGGAACGGUAGACCCCAUGCUCACAGCUUUCAGGACUACUCUGACGAACUAUACUAGGAAAGAGAACUCGCUUUUAAGGAAUUGAAAUUCCAGCAUGGAUGUGACAGGAACAGGACCACGCCUGGGUGUCUGGAGUGUGGAUGCACCCUUGUAGUAGUAGUGCAAACAGUCAUUGCAGUGGUCCGGUCCUGGCCCAUCACAGCCUACCUCACUGCACUCAGGGUCACAGGGACCUUCCAAAAGAAAUCAGAACAACACUUGGAGAAAAUGAUUUUAAAGCAGCUAACCAGUCAUGCACAGAUGGAAGAACGGCAUUGAGUGGCAAAGAGCAGCUUCCCAUUUGUUAACACCCAGCAGUGAUCACAAUACCCUCCUUUUGGGCUCUUUCAAAGAUGACUCUGGAAACUUCAGGGUGUACCGUGUCUUCUGGUAGAACACCAUAAAAUGAAGCCUGUUGAAACUAUUACUGGGAUGUGUGAUAGAAAUUUAAUUGCUUUGAAAUGCCUAAGGCUAGCAAGAUGUGAACAUGUGUAAAGAGUCUGAAUUGAGAUUCUAAGAAAAAAAAAGUCUGGAUCUAUUUAUGUCACAGAAGAUGAAUCCAGAUGGAUUCUGCAAAGUGAUCGCCUGGUGUGUAUAACUGUACCUUCCUAGACACAGUGGCCUUAGGAAGUUACGCAUAGAACUAGGGUGGGAUUAAUUUUCAGGAUUUCUUUCUGAAACUUUGGGUCUGGUUUUUAUUGUAGACACUGGUAUGAAUAUAAAGAUCUCUCUGGAUAGAAAAAAAAGGAUGGGCUAAGCCAUCUUUAUGAAAAUUUAAAAAGAUGUAAUAAGGCUCCUUUUUCUCUUGUUCAUUUGGGUUAUCUUAUUGAUCCUGAACCAGUUUUCACAGCUGGAACAGUGCCCAUUUGGCAUGGUCUCACUAUGGUCACAGCAACUUAGAGCCCCCUGUCCCUGAUGGAGGACAGGGAAUUAGUGCCGCAGUCUGUGCUCAGAAUGCUGAUGCCAGAGUCCAAACUGACAGGCAUGUACUGAUUUCAAUGACAGAGUUCCUCCUAUGCACCUCAAUCACAUUUCCCCCUUUCACAUUUAAAGCCCUAUUCCUCGGUAGAAAAGAUGGUCUGUUGGGAGCACCUCCCCAAGCCAGCUUGACGAUAAUCAUGGAAACAUCACAUAAAGUCCUUUUCACCACUGCCUUAUGCCUGUGUUCAUGUAUCCUGCAUAUAUCAAUGUUUAUAAGGACUCAUCACCCCAAAUAAGAAUCUUCUCCUACUGGCUCCACGUGAAAUAAUUAUACAUUUGAACUAAUGAAGCUUCAAUCAUUUUUGGUCACAAAAUAAGGCAGAAUGUAGAAAGAAUAUGAAGAGAGAAACAGAUCUGUGCUUUACACACUUACUCAAAAUUCUAAGAUUUUGCGUCAAACUGUGUCUAGAGAGUUGGUGAUAAAGAUAGUGAUGAAAAAAGAUAUUGGAAAACUCUAUUUGACUGCAGUAACUUUGCUAAUGAAGGUUCUGUGAAUGUCAAGGUUGAAGCAGUAGAUGAAGGUUAAAAUGACCAAAACCAUCUCUGGAGAGAUACCUUUUAAAAGAUACCCGUGCCUUUGACAAUUGUGGGAGAAAUUACAACAGAAUUCUAUGCAACAGGGCUGCCUAUGUGAGAAUUAUGUGUAUUAGAGACAGCUGCCUCUUUCUUUAGGUGGACAUCAUCCCACUCUGGGGCACUUGGCUUGGUGAGUAAAUCACAGGCCAGAUUUCAGUCUCCACUCAAUCCUCGUUUGAUUCCCUUGCACAGUUAAUAACCUGUGCGAUGAACUAUGGCAGCCCUAGCAUACAAUCAUAGACAUUUCUUGCAUUUUCAGGUAUCUCCUCUGAUUCUUUACUCAUAUAUGGCCGGAAUUUAGUGCGAAUUUUAGGAUUCUAAGAUGCACAAUAUUGAACUCUGGAACAAAGCCGGACACGUAUCUUUUACCUUGGCUCUAAAGGCACUUCUGAAGGCAAAACGUAUAAAGAAAAGCAAAAAAUUUCCAGACAGAACCAUCCCACACAGUAUAUUAAGAAAGCAUAGACGCUGCAGCCUCUGGCAGGUUCAAAAAAGUCAUAAAGCUUCCUAGGACUAUAGAUGAUUCUAAGUUUGCUUCACAGCCAAGAAAAAGAAUAUUAACAUAAAACUUAAGAAAGGGAAAAAGGCAUUUGUAAACUGUAAAUGCCUCUGUCACGCUAUCUGCAAGAGUCUCACAGCGACUCAAGAAGCUAACCAGAAUUAUGUCACUCGCUUUCUUUAAGUCUCUGAAAAUUGACACGGCAAAUACACAGACCACAACUGUACGUGAAAAUAAUUCAAAUAUUGGAAGUUAAGUGGCUUUCUGAAGGUCAUGGUGAACAAUAAUAAGCAACAAAAAGACCUGGGUCAAAGGAAAUUUGUGAAGUCUUCUCAAAGUACAAUUUCUGGCCUGACACUUUUCAAGAAGCGAUCUCGUCACCACACCCUUUGUCCUAGAUUUAUUAAAGACCCAUUUCAAAAAGCAUUUCUUUGUCUUCUCUUUUUAAAAAAAGAAUUUAGCAAAGAUGAUUAUAAACACCAGUGCUAUAACUCUCCUCAUUUAGAAGGCGACCAAGAGAUGAUAAAAAAUUUCACUGAAUGUCACAGCCCUUGAGGUCAGGAAUAUACAAUUGCAUGCUAAGAUGAUAGAAAAUGAUCACUGCAAGAGCAUUUUCAUCCAUUUUAGCAAGUCAGUUUCUUCUGUGCGUGUCAUUUUGUAGCACAUAUCACAGGACUCAUGGAUUUAUACCAUCAGCUUAAAAAAGAGAACUCUAGCAUCAAAGCAACUGGAAUCGACUUGCUUGAUAGUCAUUACUAUUAUCCAACUCACUUUCUCAAAUCAGUGCAGUAGCCCCAACAUGUUUUUCAGAUCAAAUAAGAACUCUUAACUCUAGGAAUCAGGUAGCAUGGCUCUCAGUUUCUUCUGAAUUACUUCCCUCAUCACAUCAUACCCGUCAUUUUUGCACACUGGGUCCUCUGUCUUCUCCCUUACCCUGACCAUUGCUUUCACCACAGCUGUCUCAUCCAGUUUUAAUCCCCAAUCCUCCAAGAGAUACAAAGAAAAAAUAAUACAUCUGUUUAAACUAACUACUCUAAAAACUAUUUCAGACAAGUUUUAAUUCCCAUGAGUAACUCUAAGGUUCUCAAACACCUUCCACCCUCUCAUUAUAUUUAUCUAUGCUUCUCAUCUAGGUUAUGUACAUGACAUUAACAAAUCAUUCAUGAUCAGCAGAUUAUGCUUUUUUCAAAACAUUCCAGCCCAUCUAUUGUUUCUUGAAAUCCAAGUAGUCUUCUAGAAAAGCAGAGAAAUAACAAAUAAGGAAGUUAACCCUUUAUCCAGAAUCAUCAACUAAAAUCACUGGCAAAUGGAAAUAAGAACCCAAAUUAGACAAAGUAAACUACAGAGAGGGGAACAGAAGUGUUACAUGAAAUACGUGAAUAUAAAGGAGUGAGUGUCAUAUUUGCAAGGGAGAGUGGAGCUCAUUUCAUUCCUAAGCUACACACAGCAUUUUAAUGGCCACAGAUCUAUGUGUGUGUGUGUGUGUGUGUGUGUGUGUGUGUGUGUGUGUGUAUAUAUAUAUAUAUAUAUAUAUAUAUAUAUGUGCUUCAUUUUUAUCAUACAAAAAUUCUAACAGAAUAUUAACUGUUUAUUAAUUCAACAUUAAAUGUUGUAUGAGAAUGAUGCAUAACAUGUAGAUGAUCGUGUUCCCUGAGUGUCUGCUAUGAAUGAAGAACUGUGCUCAAUUCUGUAUAUGAUACUGUUUUCCUCAUUCUUCCCUUUGCCACACACUCCAGCUAGGAUGGAUGGCCUCCUAGCUUUUCCUUGACUGACACUUUGUAUCUGCUGUAUGCCUGGCCUGAAAUGCUCUAUAUCUGGCUAGCCAUUUGGACCAUUCCCUUACUCCUCAAAGCCUCUGUUUAAAUUAGGUCUUUUCGGACCGUGUAAUGUUUAAAAAGUUGUAAUUUGUCCACACAGAGACUUGUCCAUGAAUAUUCAUACCAGCUUUACUCAUAACAACCAACCUGGAAACAAUAAAAUAGUCCAGGGGAAGGGGAACCUUCGUACACUGUUGGUGGGAAUGUAAAUUGGUGCAGCCACUGUGGAAAACAGUAUGGAGGUUCCUCAAAAAACUAAAAAUAGAAGUAUCAUAUGAGUAAUUCCACUCUUGAGUACAUAUCCAAAAAAACCAAACCACUAAUUCAAAAAGAUAUAUGCACCCCAAUGUUCAUAGCAGCAGUAUUACAACUGUCAAGAUAUGGAAGUAACCUAAGUGUCCAUCGACAGAUGAAUGGAUUAAGAAUAUGUGGUACAUAUAUACAGUAGAAUACUACUCAGCCAUAAAAAAGAAUAAAAUUUUGUCAUUUGCAACAACAUGGACGGACCGGGAGGGUAUUACGCUAAGUGAAAUAAGUCAGAGAAAAGACAAAUACUGUAUGAUAUAACUUACAUGUGGAACCUAAAAAUUAAAAUAAACUAGUGGAUAUAACAAAAAAGAACAGUUUUGCAGAUAUAG